AGAGAAAUUCAAAAAGAAGAUAAAUUGAGAAACCCAAUUGACAAAUGAGUCGAUGUGUUGCCUGGACCCAAGGUCUACAGAUAUACAACAUAUGCAAGCCUGCUCUACAUGUCUAACAACGACUACCAUCAUGCAAGCAACAAGUAUAGAUGAACGAACGAUAGCAAAAGCAACCGACAUGUAGAGACUACAAUACUGAUAUAGAAUAACAAAAAAAAAUUGAAACGAUCUCACCGACUACCAGCUCGAAGCACCUACCUGUCACUACCAAGUCGGGAACCUAGGUGCGCAACAAGUCAAUCGGACCUACGAAGAUCCACCGGGUCAGUAUCCAACCCACUAAUCCAAAAUACCGAACUCACGAACCCCACACAAAUCCCCGAAAUCGGUUUCCUAAAAUCGAUCACCGUAACUCGUUGAAAGUCCCGAAAAUCACCUCGGGAUGCUGUCGGGACCCACUA
Molecule: long non-coding RNA, 461 nt
Filed under: Ananas comosus (pineapple)
Lineage: Eukaryota; Viridiplantae; Streptophyta; Magnoliopsida; Poales; Bromeliaceae
Description: long non-coding RNA (ACOM_LNC003242)
Source: RNAcentral